Molecule: ribosomal RNA, 163 nt
Filed under: uncultured bacterium
Lineage: Bacteria
Description: partial 16S ribosomal RNA
Rfam family: Bacterial small subunit ribosomal RNA
Source: RNAcentral
GUAAUCGCAGAUCAGAAUGCCGCGGUGAAUACGUUCCCGGGUCUUGUACACACCGCCCGUCACACCAUGGGAGUCGGAUAUGCCCGAAGUCAGUGACCCAACCGCAAGGAGGGAGCUGCCGAAGGUGGAGCCGAUGACUGGGGUGAAGUCGUAACAAGGUAGC